Molecule: transfer RNA, 76 nt
Filed under: Actinomycetota bacterium
Lineage: Bacteria; Bacillati; Actinomycetota
Description: tRNA-Ala
Rfam family: tRNA
About the family: Transfer RNA (tRNA) molecules are approximately 80 nucleotides in length. Their secondary structure includes four short double-helical elements and three loops (D, anti-codon, and T loops).
Source: RNAcentral
GGGCCAGUAGCUCAGUUGGUAGAGCGCACCCCUCGCACGGGUGAGGUCAGGGGUUCAAUUCCCCUCUGGUCCACCA